Molecule: non-coding RNA, 3965 nt
Organism: Amborella trichopoda
Lineage: Eukaryota; Viridiplantae; Streptophyta; Magnoliopsida; Amborellales; Amborellaceae
Source: RefSeq, a predicted model, not a curated record
CAUAAGCAUUCGCCAAAAGCUAGAGAAACCGCCCAAAUAAAGAAAAAGAAACAGAGACCAUCUUUAAUGGUAUCCUUGAGAGAAAGAAACUCGGUUUCCAUUUGGGAGCAAUACAUACAUGGGCGCCAGUGAGAGAGGAUGACCCAAGAGAAAGAUCACCUCGUUUUGCUUUGUGGCUAAUUUGGGCGGCAAAGUGGAUUGAGAGAGAGAGAGAGCUUCCAUGGACGACGAGCAACUGCUGCGCGUGGUUCAGGAAGACUACUUUAAUCAGCACCACUCCUCUCUCCUCCAAUCCCUUCCUCUCCAUGUUUCAUUUGACUAUGGAUGUCAUCUACUAGUAAAAGCCAUCCAAGAGCUCCGAGGAAAGAAAGAGAGUCUUGUGACAGUUGGCAUUGGUGGUCCCAGUGGUUCUGGUAAAACAAGCCUGGCAGAGAAGGUAGCAUCUGUAUUUGGUUGUGUGGUCAUGCCGAUGGAUAACUAUCGCGAUGGUGUUGACGAUAAGAAUGACUUCGAGUCCAUUGAUUUUGACACUUUGAUCCAAAAUCUUGAGGAUUUGAUGAAGGGCAGUGAUAUAUUAAUGCCUGUGUUUGAUUUUCAAGAGAAAAAGCGCAUUGGUUUAAAGAAAAUUAAAAGUUCCUUACCUGGGGUGGUCAUAGUUGAUGGUACAUAUGCUCUGCAUGCUAAAUUGCGGUCCUUGUUGGAUAUACGAGUGGCAGUGGUUGGAGGUGUUCAUUUUUCUCUCCUCUCGAAAGUUCGGUAUGAUAUUGGAGAUUCUUGUUCAUUGGAUGAUGUCAUUGACAGUAUCUUUCCAUUGUUUCGAAAGCAUAUUGAGCCAGACCUUCAUCAUGCACAGAUCAGAAUAAACAACAGCUUUGUCUCUUCUUUUAGGGAACCAUACUAUAAGCUGAAAUGCCGAUGUGAGUCUCCAAAUGCACUUGCAGCUUUACCUUUUCAUACAAUGGAAUCGCACAAUGAGAAUUUCAUUGAAAUGUACCUUAGACCACCAUCUGCACAUGAGGCAGCGAAGAUCAAUGAUUGGAUAAAGGUUAGGCAGUCUGGUAUCAGAUAUUUUCUGUCACUAGGGGAUCAGAGGAUUGUUGAUAAGAGCUACAUUAUCCGGCCAAAAGCUGAGUUUGAGGUUGGACGGAUGACUCUAGGUGGAUUGCUUGCUCUGGGUUAUACUGUUGUGGUCAGUUUCAAGCGUGCAUCCACUACAAUAAAUACUGGCAAAGUUUCCAUAUCGCUUGAGAGCAUUGACAUUCUUGGUGAGAAGUUUUUGGUGUUGAAGGGAACUGAUAGGAAGGUGAUUGGAGUUGAAGCUUCCACAUUGGGUGUGAAGGGUCCAUGGAUUACAAAGUCAUAUCUGGAAAUGAUUCUAGAACAUAAAGGUGUGCCACGUCUUUGUACGCCUCCCCCAUUGUCCACUACAUCUUCAGCAGGGGAUCCUCGUGAAAGGGGCAUUAUUGUCCCUAAGCCAAUUCGUGUGACUUCAUUUCAGACUCAAAAGAUUUCUGAACUGGUCGAGCCUUGGACUCGGUCUCCAACAAAAUCUGAAAUGGAGCCUGUAGUAGCCCCCAUGAGGUGGCAUUUCAUCUCCCAAGCUGUUGCAGAAUCUUCUGCUUCAAGGUAUGCCAUUCAAUUAGCUCCAAUGCCAGAUUCAUAUGACUUGGGUAGAGGCCUACAUCUUGCUAUUCAAGCUAUCCAGGCACUUUUAGAGGCGAAGGGGCUUCCAAUUAUUGUGGGAAUUGGAGGUCCAAGUGGAUCAGGAAAAACCAGUAUGGCUCAUAAAAUGGCAAAUUUUGUUGGUUGUGAAGUCAUUUCUCUCGAAAGCUACUAUAAAUCAGAACACAUGAGGGACUUGAAAUACGAUGACUUCAGCUCUCUAGAUUUAGCCUUGCUUUUGAAGAAUAUUGAUGAUAUAAGAAAUCGUCGCAGUACAAAAGUUCCCUCAUUUGAUUUUGAAAACUGCACACGGAGUGGUUUCCGAAACCUUGAAGUUUCUGAGGAUUGUGGUGUGGUUAUUUUUGAAGGUGUCUAUGCUUUGCAUCCUGACAUCCGCAAAUCUCUUGAUUUCUGGAUUGCUGUUGUUGGGGGUGUGCAUUCACAUCUUAUUUCCAGAGUUCAUAGGGACAAGAGCAGGGUUGGAAGUCCUAUAUCACAAAAUGAGAUUAUGACGACUGUCUUCCCAAUGUUUCAGCAGCAUAUUGAACCCCAUCUUGUUCAUGCUCAUCUUAAAAUUCGAAAUGAUUUUGAUCCAGUGUAUUCCUCUGAAAGUUCAUUGUUUGUCUUGAAGAGUAAUAAGCAGGUGUCAUAUCAAGAAUUAAUGAAUGUUCUUGAUCCAGAGAAGAUAACCAGUUCUGUUCAACAUUUUACUGAUAUUUACUUGAGGCUUCCUAGGCUGCCUUCAAAUGGCCUGCUAGCAGAAAACGAGUGCAUAAGAGUCAGAAUGUGUGAAGGCAGAUUUGCAUUGUUGAUACGAGAGCCAAUCAGGGAAGGGAACUUUCUUAUGCAACCUAAAGUUGAUUUUGAUAUUAGUGUUAGCACGGUGGCUGGUCUCCUAAACCUUGGGUACCAUGCAGUCUCAUAUAUUGAAGCAUCUGCACAGAUUUACCAAGAUGAUAAGAGGAAAUAUCCACAGUUUUGAAUUGUUUUUUCAGUUAUUUAUUUUUAGAAUUUGGAACAUCAGAGCUUGGCCAUAAACUUCCAUGAAGUUUGUGUUUACUAGCCUCUCUAGCAAAUAGAAGAACUUGUUAUGAGAUGCAAGAUUGCCGAGGGGCAUUUCUCGUAUGGUAUUGUCCUCUCUAUGAAACUGGUAUUGUUGCUUAGCAAACCAUAAGUACUAUGUAAUUCCGAACCUUUCUUGAAUAUGGAGAUGUUUUAUUGUCUGCUCAACCUUCCUACACGUGAAGCAUUUGAUCUGAAGCAUGUAAUUUAGAGUUCCUUCAUUAUUAGCAACUCAUGAAUGAUAGCCAACUUAAACAGGGUUAGAAAGCUGGGGAAUAUGCUUGCCUUAUGGGAUGUCCUUGGAAUUUCCUACACCUUCCCCUUGGAGAAUACUUCUGGAAGACUUGACAGAGAACUCAUACUGUCAAAUUUUUGAAAUUGUUUUGUCAUAGCUUUUGGCAAUAUAAACACUAAUACCAGCUCUCUCCCUUUGCCAUGACGACCUUGACAUUGUUCUUGAUCUCUACUGUCCCUGAUCCAUUUGGAAGUAGUAACCAAUCCCAAUAACUGCCUGUAGAAUGACCUCUUGUUUCUUUCUUUCCAGAUAUCUUGGAAGGUGGCCACCAACUAUAGAUUCCAUAAGAUCCUUCCCAUUCAAUGACCACCAUCCAAGGACACCAUCAUCUAGUGGGCCAUUGUUACGAAGGAGUUCUGCAGCAUCUGACUUGGUUUCAAUAUUUAUACCUUGUAGUUCAGCCUAUAUUUUUUACCCUAGUUCCAUAUCUAUACAUCCAUUUACAGUUUACAGUGGAUUUUCAGCAGUUGUAACACGGAUAUUCCAUAAAUUCUGUUCCAUUUCUUAUUGGGUUCUGGUAAUUUACAUUAUAUUUUUCCAUCUUAAUUCGUUCUACUGUGAAUCAGAAUAUUUGUAUCAUGUUUGUUUCAUGGUCCAAACAAAAACUGGCUGUGUUUAUUACUAAUCACUUGAUUUUAUUUUAGAUAUUGAAUAAUGUCCAAAUGAUCUGACAUAAGCAUCGAUUUAUAGAUAAUACAUGUUUCCUCCAUCAGAUUCUUAUUGAGGUGAAUCAUUUGCAAGAUGUUCCCACUCCAUAUCUUCAAAUCAAGGGUCCAAGUAAAGAAGCUGUUGCUGCAGCAGGAUUAACGCUAAAUCUGGAUGGCUCAUAUACCACAAAGACUUAUUUGGAGAUUAUAUUAGACAGUACGCCAACUUUUGGAAGAGCUCCCACAGGAAUUCAUGGUCAGCAGGCCGCGAGGUUGCAUGAACUUGUGGAGUAUAUUCA